RNAcentral lists this long non-coding RNA (5910 nucleotides) under Solanum tuberosum (potato). RNAcentral describes it as "long non-coding RNA (STUB_LNC004550)". The record is from RNAcentral. Lineage: Eukaryota; Viridiplantae; Streptophyta; Magnoliopsida; Solanales; Solanaceae.
AACAGGUACAAGAGCUACUAAGAGUACAAAGUAAGACAUAAUAAUGAAAAGACACAGCUUCCAUCAUGUAGAAGGAAAAGUAGAAGCUGCUGGAGAUUUGCCUUCGUCUUCACCUAUGAAACAUCACUGAUCCUGCAAUCAGACUAUGCCCAAAAGGCAUAGUAAGAGUAGUAUCAGUACAAUCACACGUACUGGUAAGCAUCAUCGGUCAACCCGAAUACCCACCGCAUAAUAUAGGAAAUCAACUGGCGAAAUAUGCAAUAAGACUAAUCACUCCUCCACCUUUAUAUUUUGACCGCCCUUACCCUUCCAAAUAUUAAUAUCAUACUAGUUCACUUGCCUCUAACCCCUCACUUACUUCUUUCGUGAUUACACCUAAUCAAUUAAUCCCUUAAUGAAGUCCCUAAAAUAUUACUACCAACUCGGCCAACCACUCACGACACAGCCUUACGUUUUACUCGUCUCUACUCAACUUAUGACCCCGCGAUACGCCUAUAGAGGAUAACUAUUCGUUUAUAUUUACCAUUCACAAUUCAUUACACCACUCGAUAUGUCCAAUAACUUACGACAUCGCAAUCCCCACAUAUAAGAACAUAAUGUACAAUCCACUAAUCAUUUGAGGAAACAUGCCCAACUCCACAUUAUCAGUACUACAAGCAAUUACACAUAUAUGGCAUGUCUAUGGUCCUCUCAUGGAACUCACAUCCAAACUGUUAGUGUACUGGUACAUGGCACCCGUUCCAAGUUAGUGUGUCGGAUCAUGACACCCGUUCCAAUGUUUAUGCCAGUACGUGGCAACCGAUCACAGUAAGUUUGUCGAAGCGCAACACCCGAUCCAUUCAACAAGCCACAAUCACAAUCGCAAGUAUAUUAUCAUAAUCUUACAAUUAAGUCAUGAAUCAUGGCAUUCAAUUAUUCGUCUAUCCAUAUUUACGAAUAUUGUUAUCAAUAAUGUAACAUUCGCAUACAUACAUGUAUCAUAAUAAAGCAAGAACAAACAUAUAUCACACAACAUGAAAUCACGACCAUCAGCUCGCCCUAGUUCAUAGUCUAAGGCUUCCUCCUACGAUUUAGUCAUAUUUUCUUCGGUACACGAAGGCCUACGCAUAAAUCCUAUCAUUGAUUAACAUUACUACGCAGUGAGCACAAGUUUAUAACUACUCAAAUAAUAAACCUAACCUACCUGGGAGCCAAUCAGCUGCAUAGAGUUAAAAUUCCAAUUCUCGUUUCCGGACGACAUGACGGUGAAUUUGGUCAAGAAUCUGCAUGUUUUCGACCUCGUUAUGCUAGAAAUAUUUUUCUCCUCCCUUCCUAAGCUUAGAGCAGCUUUUGGAGGGUUUCUGGGGUGAUUUACGUGUAAAUUAGGUGUUUUGGGGAAAAGGAGAAAAUUAGACUUCGCGUUAUUUACAUUCUGUCUCGCCUAUCUCGCUCUGCCGGCUACUUACCCCAAUGUGGCACUUCCCCCCUAGCGGCAUCUGGCCCGAACUUGCGGGACAGUGGCCCCAACAUUUACCCAAAGUUUUGCUUUUCCAAAAUAAUGACAGUUCAAGUCGUUACAAUAGAUACCAAUUUACCCCUCGUUCGUCCACGAAUGACCAGUGAACGAAUCAUUACGCAUCCUAUCUCAGAGUACUUCUAAGCUAACUAAUUGGUCCCUUACAGGACCACGAAGGAUGGUGAUUUUUCCAAAAUUUGAACCACCAAGGGUGCUACACUCAAAGGUCCGGUUAGGAAUUUAAGGCAAUACAUGAAUAACCAAACGCGUCGAACUUACACAGCCUGACCCCACCAGGGCGGCAGCCCUUCCGCUGAGGCGGGGCUGCUGUGGCGAGGGAUUUCCCGCUGUAGCGGGAGCUCGAAAAUUGUAGGGGGGGGGGGAAGGGGAAUGGUUUCCCUAUUUCCUCCUCUUCUCUCCAAAACAUUCCCAAAACUCUAUCAGCCACUUCGUUCUGAAUGUCAAAAUCAAGGUAUUAAUCUCGUUCCUCAUGUUAUUUCGUUCAUUACUUACUCAACUACCCUUGUAUGAUGUUGAACGAUUGAUUAGAAUUAGUUCUAGGGGUAGUUUUUUCGAAAAUGAACAUAGGUUGCUUGUUUGAUAGAAAAAUGUAGCAUGGACACUUCCCUUACGUCCCCAACGUCUCCAUGACGUCCUGGGCGAAAGGAUUUUGUCAAAAUAUGGUCGAAUCGAUACCAAAAUUGGUGGGGGAAGUGGAAAAGUCUCUUGAUGAAAAAUCACUAUUUAGGGGUUAUUUCCUCGAAAUAAUAGCAUAUUUAAGUUCUAGGGUACUUAAUAGGUUCUGAUAUGCUGAACUUCUGUAGAAAAUGGGGGUUUUGGGACAAAGUGGUGCCAUGAUCGCGCCUGGUGUUCAUCCCAGAUGAAGGUCCCUGGCGACCUUCAUCCUGUUGUGGAGGCCUCCAUCAUUCCAGUCUAGCGGGAUUCUGGGCACUGUGACAGGACCUGGGAAAACAGUGGCCUAGGUCCCUUUUUUAGAUAGAAAUUUAAUUUUUCCUUGAACCAUGUAUUGUCUAAUCCCAUGAUGUUUUAACGUAUACCUUUCGACUUUUGGAGGCUUAUUUAAAUAGCUGGUAUCAACAAGGAAAAUUUGCCCUUCGUCCAGUUUCCUGAUGCUGCUAGUCAGGAACGGUACCAUGAUCACCGGAACACUAAGUUUUGCUGCUAGUGGAGUUUCCAUUUAUUGAAUUUGGAGGUGAAGGCGCCUGCCAUUCAUGCUCGGCUUAUGGAGUUUGGCUGGGGCCCACUGACAGAGGCUCCAACUGCUACUCGUUCAAUCUGGGUAAGAGAGUUCUACGUUGUCCUACCUACUGUUUGCUGGGACGAUCCUCACCCUACUAUUUGCAUCCGAGGAGUGGACAUCCCCUUGAACGCUCCAUCCAUAAAUGAUGUACUCGCGAUGCCCGAGGUCCCUAACACAGAGUACGAGGCUAAGCUGCGGGAGAUGGACUUAGGAUGGUUGUAGGAUACGCUGGGAGCCUGCUGGUGGAGCCAACACGUAGAGACAAGGUUUACUGGGCUACUACGGAGGGUAUCACUAGCACCGAUUGGUCACCGGAUGCUAAGAAGUGGCUACACUUGGUUACUAGGAGGAUCCGCUCAUCAGGAAAUUGCAUUGACAUGACAUUUCCUCGAAAUUUGGUGGUGGCGUGCGCGAUUCAAGGCAUAGGGCUGAACGUGGGCACAUAGAUCAUUUCAGAAUGGAAGGUGUUCUAUCGAAGUAAUAAAAAUGUGUUCUUCCUUCCUGGACUAGUGACUCCGCUGUGCAAGAGGGCGGGAAUGCCACUCCUACACAAUGAUGAGGUACUCCCCACGAACCCUCAUUUUCACCCUCUUUUGAUUAGGCAGGGUUCUACCUACAAGAGCAAGAAGAGGAGGACAGAUAGAGACAGCAGCAGCCAGGCAGCUGCGGAGGAUGAGGGAGGAGAUGAUGGUGCAGGUGACGACACUCUUCCUACCAACAGUCCCAACCCUCGCUUUCCAGUGCUCGAGUGGAGGAGGACCUGGCAGCCAUCCGGCAAAUAUUUUGGGGCUCGUGGGAUAGUACCUCGACUUUAGUUCCACCCGUUAUUGCUCUUGAAUUGGAGAUACUCCGCCGCCAGCUGCGAUGGGAGAAAAAGAAGAACUUGGAGAGAGAUCAUCUACUGGGCCGGAUGUGGAAGACUCUUAAGGUCAUUUUCUCCUGCGUCGCCCCUCAGCAAAAGCUUCCCACGCUUGAGCCGGAUGACUUCCAGGAGUUUUCUUGGUUGAGUGACUAUUGGGCUGGCGAGACAACACCUGAGGACAUGGGGUUCGACAGCGACACCUCGCAUUCCCAAGGUUAUUGAUUGGGUUUCUGCCCCUCUUGGGCAUGUAUUGAACAAUACUUUAUUUUAACUUUCUGUUUUCCUAGAUUUUUGUACGUACAACGAUGUUGGUUUCUAGCUAUUUUUCCCUCAUUAAUAUUAAAUGCUAAGGCUUAUAGCUUAUUGUUCUAUUGUUAAAUACUGAUUGAAUUGCCUGGAUUAGUUCGGAUAUCAUUCGAGGUCUGUAUUUGUGACUAGGAAAAAUAGAGGAGACAAGGCUGAGAUUCUAUCUCACCCUAUCCCGCUCUGGCAGGAGGAAUCCCGCACUGGCGGCCUCUCCUUGGCGGGAAAAAUCCCACCCCAGCGGCCUUAAAGAAAACAGAACCCCUGCCAACAAUUUCCUGAGGUUCUUUUCAUUUUUUAAUUUCCCCAUAGAUUUUCACCUAUAACCUUGGAAGUUUUAGAGUAAUCCCCUUAGUACGGAGGGGUAAUGUCUACUCUGGUUUACGCAACGAUACCCCCCCCCCCCCCAAACUCACUCUCAUUAACUCGACUUUGUCACCCAUACGUUCACACGAUACGCCCAGACACUCACACUAUUAUAGCUUGCGUAAUUUCAACAAUAGGCCAGCAUAUUGCACAUAUCAAGGUUCAGACAUGCUAUUAUUGUGCACAUAAUCAUAUUAUCACGUCCAAGGAAAUACAACUUCCACAUUCACAAUUAAUUCUGACAACAGAAACAUGCACUCACAGUUUCAAAGUUACAACUCACAGAGAAGUCCAAUUAUUAGCUAGUUCGUAUCCAUAGAUGACCAAUACUGAUCAUUCAUUCCCUUGUACAACCUCUAAGGCCAUAUACCAAUUGGAACCUUCUUAGUUCCAAUUUUCUUUGCUUGUGUCCCGUCAGUCGUGACCACGACGUCUAGUUCACUUUGUUGAGAUACCAAUUGGAAUCGGAAGAUACCAAUUGGACUCAACUCAUACCACAGGCGAAACUCGUACGAAAGAAGAGAAAAAGUGGAACAACUUCCUAGAAUGUUUCCUAACUUCUUGAAGAUUAGAUGUGGAUGUCAACACAUCAAUCUGCAGGAAUCUAGUCCAUAUUUUUCUCUUGUACUGGGAGACCGGUAACCUGGGCACUGAUACCAAUUUGUCACGACUCAACCCACCGGGCCAUGCGGGCACUUAGUCUAACACCUAAAUAGGAGAACCCUCGAUUCCCAAUAGUUAAAAUCAUGCGGAAAAUUAAGAAAACUACUGAAAUAAGGAAAUUCAUAUAGUAUUGUUAUAAAAACAAGAAUUCAAAACGACUCAAGGUUAAGACAUGUAAAGUAAUUAACACCCCAGGGAUCUAGUUUAAACAUGUAUAAGAGCUACUAAGAGUACAAAAGUAAGACAUAAUAAUGAAAAGACACAGCUUCCAUCAUGCGGAAGGAAAAAAAUAGAAGCUGUUGGAGAUUCGCCUUCGUCUUCACCUAUGAAACAUCACUGAUCCUACAACCAGACUAUGCCAAAAAGGCAUAACAAGAGUAGUAUCAGUAGAACCCCACGUACUGGUAGGCAUCAUCGGUCAACCCGAAUACCCACCGCAUAAUAUAAUAAAUCAACUGGCGAAAUAUGCAAUAAGACUAAUCCCUCCUCCACCUUUAUAUUUUGACUGCCAUUACCCUUCCGAAUAUUAAUAUCAUACUAAUUCAGUUGCCUCUAACCCCUCACUUCUUCGUUUGUGUUUAUACCUAAUCAAUUAAUUCCUUAAGAAAGUCUCGAAAAUACUACUACCAACCCGACCAACCACUCAUGACACACCCUUACGUUUUACUCGUCUCUACUCAACUUAUGACCCCGCGUUACGCCUAUAGAGGCUUACUAUCUGUUUAUAUUUAACAUUCACAAUUCAUUACACCACCCGAUAUCUCCAAUAACUUACAACAUCACAAUCCCCACAUAUAAGAACAUAAUGUACAAUCCACCAAUCCUUUCAGGAAACAUGCCCAAUUCCACAUUAUCAGUAAUACGAGCAAUUACACAUAUAUGGCAAGUCAAUGGUCAUCUCAUGGAACCCACACCCAAACUGUUAGUAUACUGGUAUGUGGUACCCAUUCUAUGUUAGUG